GCAAAAUGAUGAUUAUCUUUUUAACCCUGAGGUCAUCUCGAUGAAGACUAAAAAUAACAACAACUCUAAUUUUUUCCUGACU
Molecule: small nucleolar RNA, 82 nt
Filed under: Phialocephala subalpina
Lineage: Eukaryota; Fungi; Ascomycota; Leotiomycetes; Helotiales; Mollisiaceae
Description: A. fimigatus snoRNA Afu_298
Rfam family: A. fimigatus snoRNA Afu_298
Source: Rfam by way of RNAcentral